RNA transcript from Carassius carassius (crucian carp), 1215 nucleotides. It is a transcript of the gene named activating transcription factor 7-interacting protein 2-like, with no coding region annotated. The transcript is spliced from 11 exons. The record is from RefSeq and is a predicted model, not a curated record. Lineage: Eukaryota; Metazoa; Chordata; Actinopteri; Cypriniformes; Cyprinidae.
GAAAAGAUUAUUUCAGAUAAGGUUGUGUCUGCAGUCGAGCAGUCAGACUACAAGAUGAAGAAUCUGAUGGAGAGAAUCAGUGAGGUGAAGGGUGAACCCAGAUACGAUGCCAGAAUCAAGAAACUGGAAACUCAUGUAAGGAAGAUAAAACGAAGGGGAGAUGCCAUAUUUGCAUAUAUAAGAAAGUUCAGAUCCUUGGGGAUUUCUCACAGUCCGUCUCCCCCUCCUUUAAGUCCUCCUCCCAUGCAGCCACAGCAAUCCAUCUCUCCGGCUGAACUAAUAAACAAUAUAUCCAGAAGUUCAGUCAAUGGAGGGUGUUUCAGUAACAGCGCGUCAGUGUCAUCCGCAGACAAUGAUUGUGAGAUGACCACAUUGAGAAGACCAAAGAAAGGGUUCUGGCAGAGUUUGAAGUCUAAGAAUCAGGUUGUUGACCUAACAGAAGAAGACCGAGCAGACAGACUGAAUGAAGAGAGCCUGGUUACCCAACUAUCGGAUCCGAUAUUGCUACCUUCAAAACCAGAACAAUCAAAACCCUCAAGCACACCACCUAUAGCCAUUAAAGAAGAAAAUCUAAGUGGUAUGGAGGAAGACUGUGUCAGUUCUUCAGUACAGUUGGAAGAGGAGGACUGGCACUCAAAACUCCAUCCAUUCCCAGACACUCCAUUUCCCAAAGAGCUUCCAGUUAUUGCUGCCUCUUAUAACUUGCCCCAGAAGCCAGUGGUGAAACUAGCUCGGAUUGGAAGCGCACAAGAACUAGGUAUCGCGUGGAAUGUUGAUCAGAAAGAUCCACAUGUAACAGAGAUGGAUUGCUACUACAUUUAUGUUUCCCAUGAACACAAAAAUGGCACUUUUUCAGGAUGGAAGUGCCUUGGAGAGAUCAAAGCCAUGCCUCUUCCUAUGGCCUGCAAGUUGUCAGACUGCAAAGGAGAUAAAAGACUGUGCUUUAUCGUUGUGGGGAAGGAUAUAUUUGGCCGUUAUGGGCCAUACAGUGAAAUACGCACUGUUGCACCAGGACAAAUGUGAUUCUGAAAAAUAUUUGGAAUAUUUAAGAUUUCAGUUUCUUAAAAGAUAUUGAGUUGGGUACAAAUAAAGUUAAAGCUUUUUUUUUGUUUUUUUUUUCACUGCAGAAAAUCCAAGUUUCAAAAAAGUAUCAGAGAGCCAUGUAAGUCAUUCUUCUUAUUUGAAUCUCACUAAAACAACAGUAUUAAGAAAGAA